UUUUUUUUCUUCUGAUGAACAUUCAUUGGCUAACUUCGUUGACUUAAGAACACUGAGUCAUGUCUGACUUGGAGACCAUCGAGCUAGCCGCUCUGGGCCGACCCUUCCAGCUGGGGAUGCUGUAUGACUGUCGUAGAGAUGUCCUCAUUCCAGGUAUCACUCUCUGGGAUUCUGAGAUGCUUCAGAAACACAUCAAUGUUCGUCCACAACCGAUCACUGACUUCAAAAUCAUUAUUUCAGACUCAAGUGAAGACAAGUCAGAAGCUUUGAAUGUGUCUGCAUCUCUUGAGGCCAGUUUUCUUUGUGGCUUAGUCAGUGUGAAGGGUUCUGCUGAAUUCCUACAUGA
Molecule: non-coding RNA, 346 nt
Organism: Salmo salar (Atlantic salmon)
Lineage: Eukaryota; Metazoa; Chordata; Actinopteri; Salmoniformes; Salmonidae
Source: RefSeq, a predicted model, not a curated record